RNAcentral lists this long non-coding RNA (1375 nucleotides) under Chinchilla lanigera (long-tailed chinchilla). RNAcentral's name for it is "lncRNA (ENSCLAG00000024754.1)". Lineage: Eukaryota; Metazoa; Chordata; Mammalia; Rodentia; Chinchillidae. The record is from RNAcentral.
CUGGGGAGCUCCGCGAGCGGGUCUAGGAGUCGAGCAGCUUGGGAGCUCAUUUGUCUCAGACCUUUAGGAUAAGAACUACAUAUUAAGGAAGGAUCUCACCUUUGAUACGCAUGUGGUAAUCGAAGUGGGAGAUGAUGUUGGACUGAAACAGGUCAUGACAGUGAGAUGGAACACAAAAACAGCUUCUGAGAAAUAUUUCAUAUUCUUUGCCAAGUGACUUUUCUAGUUUUUCUCCUGAAAGAGCACAGUACAUUUCCCUGACCUUGGAUUUCAGAUUUGGUCUUGUGACUUUUUUAGUCAAUAGAGUCCAACUGUCACAACUGGGGGUCAGUUUCAAGCCUGGAUAAAAGAGGCCUUGUAUGUUCGCACUGCGUCUUACACACAGAGCAUUGCCGAGAAAGGCGACGCGCUGGGACUGAGCGCAGGUUCCCGGACGCGGGAGGAACGCCACGUGGGGCGGAGACAGCCUACGCAAAGUAGUCCUGGGUCGGACUGUCGGAGCCUAAGGCACGGAAGCUAAACAAUGAUGCUCUGCGCUGGUAACUGCUCAAGGUUAUCCCUGAGUGAAUCAGAUAAAAGGGAAAAAAUUUACCAAGCUUGGAACUCCAGGAUCCGUCCAGCUUUACAAAGGAAGAGCAAUGAAUUAAAGUAACUCUUCCAUGAAGUCAGUAGUAAGUUUGGCGGUGUGCCUGCGGCUCUCAGAAGCAAGGUAAUAACCCUGGGAAAUUCACUCAGGUCUUCAUAUCUAAACAUUUUCUUUUCUUUCAGGCUGACCCUAAACAAAGUAUAAAUUCUGUAAAUGCUCUUCACCUUUGCUUUGCUUUCACUAAGAAACAAUAAUCUUUCACUCCUCUAAUAUCACAAGGGUGCCUGUGGAACUAGCUCACUAAACACUCCAUACAUGUACAACGUUAUGGUCUUGUGUUUGAAAGAAUACCAAUUUUAUUCAACUUAAAUAUAAAGCAUAAAUUAGUAUGAAGCACUACAUCUUAAUUUUAACACUGCAAAUUACUAGGAAAAUAAUGGGUACUUAUAAGUAUUUUUUUAAGGUUGUGCUGCUGCAUAUAGCUUAAAGAAAUAAAUGGCAAAAUGCUCUCUAGAGGGAAAUAAGGAAGAAAGGCUGUGCAGUGCUCCUCUGUCCACACAUAAAAUUUCCCAGCUAGGGAAUGAAAAAGUCAUGUGAAGAGCUCCAAGCCAGUUUCUGUAUUUACUUAAAGAAAUUAAUUAGGGCUAUGUGUACAGUGACCAGUCAUAAUUUUAGAAGUCGUCAGGUGAGGAAAUCUUAACAAGAGCAGUUUCAUGUAUAUAUAAAUAUGAGAAAACAUUAUUGCAAAAUCUAAUGGUGAUAGACUUCAUAAGAACUUUUCAGAUGUGU